UUGAAAUUGAUCAUCCCAAGUCGGGAAAAUAAAAAUUAAAAAAAAAAAUCUUAUAACAAACAAGAAUGUGGAUAGUAAACAUCAUUGGACGUACGACAACUCUUGUAGUUACGCAGGCAAUGAAAAAACUUUCUUAUCCUCGUUAGAAACCGCCCGUUUCUGAGUUUGAAAUCCUGCAUCUUCUUCAAAUUUCUAGCUGAUCUAAGCCUCCUGCAUGUAACCCUUUUCACUUUAAUGGAAAAUUUAUUAAACCUCUCUGUGACAGUUUGCUUCCUGCUGAACUUGUAGCUUCUCAAGAAUAUUUGCCUCUUCUCCAUCUUAAUUCUGAACGUGUCCAUUGAAACUGCAUUCAUAUCGUUAAGUCCCAUACUUAAACACGAAAAUUUGUGCUGCGCUCGUAUAGAGUUUUGAAGAGAGGAAGAAUAUAUGGCAAAUAGAUUGAGGGAGAGGGUUUAUAUAUACAUAAAGUAAGAAGGAAUUGGACUUCUCUAAUUUCUUGUAUGGUAAGCAUAGGACUUCUC
RNAcentral lists this long non-coding RNA (521 nucleotides) under Olea europaea (common olive). Its description in RNAcentral is "long non-coding RNA (OEUR_LNC009116)". The record is from RNAcentral. Lineage: Eukaryota; Viridiplantae; Streptophyta; Magnoliopsida; Lamiales; Oleaceae.